RNAcentral lists this long non-coding RNA (763 nucleotides) under Anolis carolinensis (green anole). RNAcentral's name for it is "lncRNA (ENSACAG00000042670.1)". Lineage: Eukaryota; Metazoa; Chordata; Lepidosauria; Squamata; Anolidae. The record is from RNAcentral.
AUGGUGGGAGUUGUAGUCCAAGGGAGGCCUUCCCUCCACUUUCUGCAGCAGGAUUCCCAGGCUCCAUUUCUAAGUUCAAUUCCCAGAAGCCUCAGCUGCCUUGAGCCAAGGCUGGGGCUUCUGGGCGAUGGAGUCCCAGGAGAUGGAAGGCGAGGGGGAAGGAAGCCGAGAAGGAAGCAAGCCCAAGAAGCCUCUUCUUUGUCUGCCUGUCUGGCUUUCCCUUUGCAGCCGCAGUCCUGUUCCUUUAACGCUAAGCCCCGCCUCUCUAUGGGCGCCUCCUCGUGGCCGCCAUGUCCAGGCCGGGCGGAAGUAGAGCGAGAGGGAGGCCUCCGCUCCCUAGAGAGGCCGGAUGAAGUGCUUAGGAGGGGAGCAGAGAGUGACGCUCUUCGCUCUGAGCUCACUUCCGGAGGAGCGGGGCCUUGUCUCGGGCGCCUUCCAGACCAGGCCUGCAUCCGGGUGUUUCGGGCCUGGCCUCCCUCAGGGACUCCUCAGAGGCGGCGUUCCCUUCUCCCUCAGCCGCUAACCUCUGAACAAGUCUUGUGAAGAACACCUAGUGAGAGCUUUGCCCGGGGAGUAAAUCUAAAGUGACUUGAAGAUACACAACAAUGAGAAGAAUAAAAAAUAAGUAGUACACAAAUAUAUUUCAAGCUACAUACCCAUGCAGAAUGUGCUGUAAAAAGAACGGCUUGGGAAAGCCAGCAGAAUUCUACAGCAGUACAAACACAGUGCUGUUCAAGAGGUUAUAAACACCUGGCAUAAUACU